Long non-coding RNA from Micropterus salmoides (largemouth bass), 569 nucleotides. RefSeq lists it as uncharacterized. The record is from RefSeq and is a predicted model, not a curated record. The transcript is spliced from 6 exons. Lineage: Eukaryota; Metazoa; Chordata; Actinopteri; Centrarchiformes; Centrarchidae.
AAGCCGGAAGGAAGACACACCAACCCGGCCAGGGAGAAGGAAGGGCAGGGUGUUCAUCCGCUCUACUACUCAGAUCAAACAGGGCACUGCAUGUGAAAACGCCAGGAUGAGCUAAGUGGAGAGUGAAUGACCAGUAAUGUAUGAAGAAGGAAGAUAUUCUUUCUUAUCCCACACUCACUCACAAAGGCUACAUUUCUUACUAUGCAUUCUUUGGGUACGAGAAUGCUUGGGAACAUAAGGACUUUGGCCAGCAUGAAAGACAGGUUAGGCAGUCCAGAGAUCACUCUGCCAGCUUCCACACUCAGCUCUUCAUCCUGCUGAGACUUCCUGAUAAAAACAGCAGAUGGACAUCAGGCGAUUCAGUGUGUCCUCCAUGUGGCUACUGUUAAAUCCCGUUUCCAGUUUGCUGAUGGUCAACUCAUACAGCUCACGGUCAACUCCUUUACACUUGCUGACCUGGAGGAGGACUGUUGCUACGGCUGCUGCUGCUGCUGUAGGAUCUGCCCUCCUCCUCAGGACCAAAAUAAUCCAGGUUGAGAGCAGUGCAGUCUGUGCUAAUCAGAGGGGAG